AAAAGAGAACAUGAUAGUUUUCUGUAAGCAGUCAGUUUGGCCAACUUUUCAAAGAAAGGUAACAGUUAUAUACAACUGCUCGAAAAAAAACGAGGGAAACUAUAAGAGGAAAACAACGAAACAACAUAAACACUGAAGUAAACAAAAAACAAUUUUAAACGAUAAUACAAAACACACGUCAGAAACGAACUAUAAGAUAAUAAGUGCAAUUUUCUUAACUUGGUACAGGACAUUUUAAGAAAAAAUGAGGGAAUGAACCUGGUUAUGUGUCUAGCCAAACCUCUCGCUUUUAUGGCAAUGUUAAAUAUUACACUUAAAGAGGGACGAAAGAUAUCCGAGGGACAGUCAAAUUAACUCAUAAAUCGAAAAUAAACUGACAACGACUUGGCUAAAAAUGAAAAAAGACAAACAGACAAAUAAUAGUACACAUGACACAGCAUAGAAAACUAAAGAAUAAGCAACACGAACCCAACC
This 474-nucleotide long non-coding RNA is filed under the name Mytilus galloprovincialis (Mediterranean mussel). The record is from RNAcentral. Lineage: Eukaryota; Metazoa; Mollusca; Bivalvia; Mytilida; Mytilidae.